AGCUCACUGGUCGAGUCGGCCUGCGCGGAAGAUGUAACGGGGCUAAACCAUGCACCGAAGCUGCGGCAGCGACACUAUGUGUUGUUGGGUAGGGGAGCGUUCUGUAAGCCUGCGAAGGUGUGCUGUGAGGCAUGCUGGAGGUAUCAGAAGUGCGAAUGCUGACAUAAGUAACGAUAAAGCGGGUGAAAAGCCCGCUCGCCGGAAGACCAAGGGUUCCUGUCCAACGUUAAUCGGGGCAGGGUGAGUCGACCC
RNAcentral lists this ribosomal RNA (252 nucleotides) under Klebsiella pneumoniae subsp. pneumoniae. RNAcentral describes it as "partial 23S ribosomal RNA". It matches the Rfam family "Bacterial large subunit ribosomal RNA", at positions 1139 to 1390 of the family's 2925-position model. Lineage: Bacteria; Pseudomonadati; Pseudomonadota; Gammaproteobacteria; Enterobacterales; Enterobacteriaceae. The record is from RNAcentral.